AUCCUCUUUACUACCAACUAUCAACCCUCCUUUUGACAAUUUCUCUUUCUGGAUCUACAACGUGAAACUUCAAACGUGAAACUCCGGUGAAGCCAACGCAAGCGUCCUCUUCAACAUUGACAACAGAAAGCCCAGACACAGACUGCACUCCAGCCCAAGUCCAAGUGGCAGCUUGUUUUUUAAAAAAUAAAUACAUGCAUUACACAUAUGCUUUUCUUCUUUUGCAUAACUAGGCUAACUAAGGCUAUAAUAAUAACAGUAGUAAUAAUGGUAAUGGCCUCAUAAAUGCUAUAGGAUAAAGCAUAGGCCAAAUUUUAAGCCCCUAACAGAAAAAGCAAGCCCAUAUGGCGCUGCGGCAGGUUUUAUUUUUGGUGUCAAAAAUAGGUGUUGAACACGUAAUAAAACCCAAAUGUACACCUUAUUUGUACGUCCGUGGACGUGUUUU
Long non-coding RNA from Engraulis encrasicolus (European anchovy), 445 nucleotides. RefSeq lists it as uncharacterized. The record is from RefSeq and is a predicted model, not a curated record. The transcript is spliced from 2 exons. Lineage: Eukaryota; Metazoa; Chordata; Actinopteri; Clupeiformes; Engraulidae.